CCGGUGACGAAAGCGUUGAUGGUUCGGUCCCGGGCAAUGGGACCCCGCGAACCGUGUCAGGACCGGGAGGUAGCAGCACUAAGCGGGUAACCCCAUGUGCUACGGGGUAGCCGAGCCGGAGCUGACGGCCGG
Molecule: signal recognition particle RNA, 132 nt
Filed under: Actinomycetota bacterium
Lineage: Bacteria; Bacillati; Actinomycetota
Description: signal recognition particle sRNA large type
Rfam family: Bacterial large signal recognition particle RNA
About the family: The signal recognition particle (SRP) is a universally conserved ribonucleoprotein involved in the co-translational targeting of proteins to membranes.
Source: RNAcentral